This 2637-nucleotide long non-coding RNA is filed under the name Salmo salar (Atlantic salmon). Its description in RNAcentral is "lncRNA (ENSSSAG00000117942.1)". The record is from RNAcentral. Lineage: Eukaryota; Metazoa; Chordata; Actinopteri; Salmoniformes; Salmonidae.
UACUCUCCUGACAUAAUCUAAUGUUUUGCUUUCGCUGUAAAGCCUUUUUGAAAUCGGACAAUGUGGUUAGAUUAACGAGGGUCUUGUCUUUAAAAUGGUGUAAAAUAGUCAUAUGUUUGAGAAAUUGAAGUUAUAGCAUUUUUGAGGUAUUUGUAUUUCGCGCCACGCGAUUCCACUGGCUGUUGACUAGGGUGGGACGUCCCACCUCGCCCAGGGAGGUUAACGGCUUCUACCCCCAAGCCAUAAGACUCCUGAACAGCUAAUCAAAUGGCUACUCGGACUAUUUUCAUUGACUCCAUAACAGUAUGCCAGUGGAAGAGAGGACAGUAUCAGGUGACCCAACAGGGGUUUGUGAAUACUAUCAUUUCACAUUGUAGCCAAUUGAAUUGCAGAAAUUCUGUGACCAAUUUUUCUGAAAUUCGGGUUGAAGUAAUAAAUAAUAAGGAAUUCCCCUCGAGCACGGCCAAAAUUUGGGGAAAAACAGACAUUAUUUCCCAUUGACCCCCUAGCGCCAACUUGAUUUUUUGUAAUGCAGAAACAAAACAUGGUGAAAAGCUGCUCUCUUGUUUAAUGUACAGUACACAUAACCUGGUCAAAAAUCCCAACCUAAUACUACCGCGCACGUAAAUUCAGCCUGUGAGAAAAGAACUGUGGCUUCAGGUUAUUCUGCGUGAGCGAGUGGGAAAUUGUGGGGAGCCAAGUAGGCUACACAAGUAGGCUACACAUAGCUAGCUAUGUAUGUGGAAAACAUUUCAUCAUCACAGUUAAGACAUUUAACUUGUUUAGUAUAGACCGUUUGUAACGACAUUCACUACUUGUAGCUGUAUACAGUAGUCCGUCUGUUUGCGUUGUUGGUCUUGGCCAUCUAAAUGUUCCGGUCGGUUGCUAGCUAGUGCUCACUCUGCUGCUAACACCAUCAUGAAAAGAGGCAUGAGGGAAGCCCUACAAUAUUUUGUUUUUCAAAGUAGUGAGAACGCUCUGGAGCAAUACUGAAAAAUAUUUUUUUUAAGACAUGUUUAGACAUAUUUCUUUUAAAAUGUACUUUUGUAAUUGACUUAAACAAGCAGACAAGAAAAUUGUUUUUGAAAACGUUUUUUUGUUGUUGCUGUGAGACAACGGGGUAACCUAGGUAACCACAGGUUGUUUUCCCCAAAGGCGGGUGGGGCGCGACGUUCUAUCUAAUAGUGAUGGGUCGUUCGCAAACGAGUCGGUUCUAAGAGCCGGCUCUUGUAGGUUAACGAUGGGAGCCGGCUCUUGUAGGUUAACGAUGGGAGCAGGCUCUUGUAGGUUAACGAUGGGAGCAGGCUCUUGUAGGUUAACGAUGGGAGCAGGCUCUUGUAGGUUAACGAUGGGAGCCGGCUCUUGUAGGUUAACGAUGGGAGCCGGCUCUUGUAGGUUAACGAUGGGAGCCGGCUCUUGUAGGUUAACGUUGGGAGCCGGCUCUUGUAGGUUAACGUUGGGAGCCGGCUCUUGUAGGUUAACGUUGGGAGCCGGCUCUUGUAGGUUAACGUUGGGAGACGGCUCUUGUAGGUUAACGUUGGGAGCCGGCUCUUGUAGGUUAACGUUGGGAGCCGGCUCUUGUAGGUUAACGAUGGGAGCCGGCUCUUGUAGGUUAACGAUGGGAGCCGGCUCUUGUAGGUUAACGAUGGGAGCCGGCAAACAAUACCAGAAGAGCCGAAUCUAUUUAUAAAAACAUUAAAAAAAUUAAGAUAUGAAUGAUCAAAAGAUUUAAAUGAAUAGAAUUAACAAAUUAAAAGAACGGAAAAAAAUAAAAUAAUAAUAUAGGCCUAAAUGCUCAAGCGCACACACAUUCAUUCUGACUGUCUGCUCAGACUAACAGCCUCACUGUUGUUCCUGUCAAUCAGACACGCAGUGUCAACCAAUGAACCAAAGGUGUGUGAGGGAGGGCCGAGCCAACUCACUCACAGUCACACAGCUGUGAAAACAGCUGUGAAAACAACAGCUGGAAAAUGAGUCAGAAGCACAGUAGCAUUUGGAUGCAUUUUAAUAAUGUAGACAAUGUUAGAGCACAGUAUAGAAUUUGCCAAAACAAAAUGUCAUAUAAAGCUGGUUCUACACACAACCUACACCGGCAUAUGGGAACUGUGCACCCAACUGUGAAGCUAGCUGUAGCGGAGCUUCGAGAAACUAGCGGGCCUGUUAGUGAUAGUGGUGGAGUCAGCACCUCCACACGUGGAGAUGUAUCCACUCAGUCAAGUAGCGCUACUAGUGAUAGUGGUGGAGAUGUAUCCACUCAGUCAAGUAGACCUGCUAGUGAUAGUGGUGGAGAUGUAUCCACUCAGUCAAGUAGGCCUGCUAGUGAUAGUGGUGGAGAUGUAUCCACUCAGUCAAGUAGGCCUGCUAGUGAUAGUGGUGGAGAUGUAUCCACUCAAACAAGUAGGCCUGCUAGUGAUAGUGGUGGAGAUGUAUACACUCAGUCAAGUAGGCCUACUAGUGAUAGUGGUGGAGAUAUAUCCACUCAGUCAAGUAGGCCUGCUAGUGAUAGUGGUGGAGAUGUAUCCACUCAGUCAAGUAGACCUGCUAGUGAUAGUGGUGGAGAUGUAUCCACUCAGUCAAGUAGGCCUGCUAGUGAUAGUGGUGGAGAUGUAUCCACUCAGUCAAGUAGGCCUGCUAGUG